Molecule: ribosomal RNA, 218 nt
Filed under: uncultured bacterium
Lineage: Bacteria
Description: partial 16S ribosomal RNA
Rfam family: Bacterial small subunit ribosomal RNA
Source: RNAcentral
UACGUAGGUGGCAACGUUGUCCGGAUUUACUGGGCGUAAAGAGCGCGCAGGCGGUCGUUCAAGUCGCGUGUGAAAGCCCCGGCUCAACUGGGGAGGGUCACGCGAUACUGAUCGACUCAAGGCAGGAGAGGGAAGUGGAAUUCCCGGUGUAGUGGUGAAAUGCGUAGAUAUCGGGAGGAACACCAGUGGCGAAGGCGGCUUUCUGGGCCUUACCUGAC